AGUGAUCUUCGCCCUACCAAAAGCACUCAAGAUGUUACCUUAAGUUUAGCCAUAGUAAUUGAUGGAUGUUACUGAGGCACGAGUAGCAGUUCCAUAAUGAAGGAAAGGAUUAGACAAAGACUGGAGGCUGCUAAAUCCAAAAGGAAGUUUUUCUAUUCCAAAAUUCAUGAUUCCUCAGACUAGUUUUUGUUUUUCACUGUUUUCAACCUCAAUGUUCAACUUCUGAGACCAUUUCAAUGCACCUGUAAAUGUCUGGCUAGAAGCACAGGAAUCAGAGACUAAAUAACCAUAUGAAUAUUCCCUUUCUACAUGAUAAAAAAAAUAAAGAACUACUAACAGAACAGAACUACUAAUAAGAGAACCACUCUUUGCAGAUUGUGCCUUCCUAGCACAUGCACAGGGAGAUCUCCAAUGCAUCGUAGAUCGCUUCGCUGAAACAUCAAAAUUGUUUGGCCUCACAAUCAGCCUGGAGAAAACUGUGGUGUUGCACCAAUCAUCUUCAUCACUCCAUGCUAUAUCCCCUACCAUAUCGAUUAGUGGAAUCCAACUAAAGCAAGUUGGCAGUUUUACCUCUCUCGGCAGCAACAUCUCCAAUGAUGGAUCUCUUGACAAAGAGCUCAUGAAGAGGAUACAGAAAGCUUCUCAGUCACUAGGAAAGCUAUGUAACAAAGUCCUGAAAUCCCACAACAUAACCCUCUCAACAAAAAUAAAACUUUAUAAUGCCUUUGUGCUCACAUCUCUCCUCUGGGGCUGUGAGACCUGGACAUCAUACAAAUGGCAUAUCAAACAGUUAAAGGCCUUCCAUUUGUGGUCUCUGCACACCAUUAUGGGGAUCCGCUGACAGGAUAAAAUUACCAACCUGGAGGGUUUCCAAAAGUCAAAUGCCAUAAAUAUUGAGGCCACGCUGAUAAAAGCCCAACUACGCUGGGCUGGACACAUCAUUAAGAUGCCUGAAUAUUGACUUCCCAGAAGAAUUUUCUAUGGAGAAUUGGCACAAGGACACCGGAAUCAAGGCUGCUCCAGAAAGCAAUACAAGGACAGCAUCAAGAAGAGCAUACACUUUGGUGCAAUAAAACUGGAUGAUCUUGAGAAGACUGUGUUAAAUAGAUCAGCCUGGCAACACACAACACUCAGAGCUUUUCAAGCCUUUGAAGAGGACAGAAAUAAUCGAUUGUUAGCUGCAAGGGAAAAGUGUCAUACUACUGCUAUAGCUACCAAGACGCUCCCAAUGACUUUGUCUGCCCGAUCUGCUCACUCCAAAAUCCACAAAAAGAGAGACCAUGAAAAUGUCAUCGUCAAAUCAACACACACACACACACACGCUGAAAAAAAUAAAGUAUUUGUUCAAUCCAUCAGUGAACACAACAGCAAUAUUUUGAAAUAAGUGACAAGGG
Long non-coding RNA from Mauremys mutica (yellowpond turtle), 1394 nucleotides. RefSeq lists it as uncharacterized. The record is from RefSeq and is a predicted model, not a curated record. Lineage: Eukaryota; Metazoa; Chordata; Testudines; Geoemydidae. The transcript is spliced from 3 exons.